GACGAACGCCGGCGGCGUGCUUAACACAUGCAAGUCGAACGGAAAGGCCUGCUUUCCCUUGUGGAUUGCGGGUACUCGAGUGGCGAACGGGUGAGUAACACGUGAGUGAUCUGCCCCCAACUUGGGUAUAAGCCUGGGAAACUGGGUCUAAUUCCCGAUAGGACUGCAGGGUGGUGCCUGUGGUGGAAAACGAUUUUCUAGUGGUUGGGGAUGAGCUCGCGGCCUAUCAGCUUGUUGGUGGGGUAAUGGCCUACCAAGGCGGCGACGGGUAGCCGGCCUGAGAGGGUGGACGGACACAUUGGGACUGAGGUACGGCCCAGACUCCUACGGGAGGCAGCAGUGGGGAAUAUUGCACAAUGGGCGGAAGCCUGAUGCAGCGACGCCGCGUGGGGGAUGACGGCCUUCGGGUUGUAAACUCCUUUCGACCGCGAGGAAGCCACCUGGUUGGAAGGGUGGUGACGGUAGUGGUAGAAGAAGCACCGGCUAACUACGUG
This 494-nucleotide ribosomal RNA is filed under the name uncultured bacterium. Its description in RNAcentral is "partial 16S ribosomal RNA". It matches the Rfam family "Bacterial small subunit ribosomal RNA", at positions 28 to 507 of the family's 1533-position model. The record is from RNAcentral.